This 460-nucleotide ribosomal RNA is filed under the name uncultured bacterium. RNAcentral describes it as "partial 16S ribosomal RNA". It matches the Rfam family "Bacterial small subunit ribosomal RNA", at positions 338 to 795 of the family's 1533-position model. The record is from RNAcentral.
CCUACGGGUGGCAGCAGUGAGGAAUAUUGGUCAAUGGACGAGAGUCUGAACCAGCCAAGUAGCGUGAAGGAUGACUGCCCUACGGGUUGUAAACUUCUUUUAUAUGGGAAUAAAAUGUUCCACGUGUGGGAUUUUGUAUGUACCAUAUGAAUAAGGACCGGCUAAUUCCGUGCCAGCAGCCGCGGUAAUACGGAGGAUCCGAGCGUUAUCCGGAUUUAUUGGGUUUAAAGGGAGCGUAGGUGGAUUGUUAAGUCAGUUGUGAAAGUUUGCGGCUCAACCGUAAAAUUGCAGUUGAAACUGGCAGUCUUGAGUACAGUAGAGGUGGGCGGAAUUCGUGGUGUAGCGGUGAAAUGCUUAGAUAUGACGAAGAACUCCGAUUGCGAAGGCAGCUCACUGGACUGCAACUGACACUGAUGCUCGAAAGUGUGGGUAUCGAACAGGAUUAGAUACCCCAGUAGUC